AGCAGUGGGGAAUAUUGGACAAUGGGCGAAAGCCUGAUCCAGCCAUGCCGCGUGAGUGAUGACGGCCUUAGGGUUGUAAAGCUCUUUCGCACGCGACGAUAAUGACGGUAGCGUGAGAAGAAGCCCCGGCUAACUUCGUGCCAGCAGCCGCGGUAAUACGAAGGGGGCUAGCGUUGUUCGGAAUCACUGGGCGUAAAGGGUGCGUAGGCGGAUUUUUAAGUCAGGGGUGAAAUCCCGAGGCUCAACCUCGGAACUGCCUUUGAUACUGGGGAUCUUGAGUCCGGAAGAGGUGAGUGGAACUGCGAGUGUAGAGGUGAAAUUCGUAGAUAUUCGCAAGAACACCGGUGGCGAAGGCGGCUCACUGGUCCGGAACUGACGCUGAGG
Molecule: ribosomal RNA, 384 nt
Filed under: uncultured bacterium
Lineage: Bacteria
Description: bacterial SSU rRNA
Rfam family: Bacterial small subunit ribosomal RNA
Source: RNAcentral